Molecule: small nuclear RNA, 106 nt
Organism: Dromaius novaehollandiae (emu)
Lineage: Eukaryota; Metazoa; Chordata; Aves; Casuariiformes; Dromaiidae
Source: Ensembl
UUUUUUUGGUGGUAGUACAUAUACUGAAACUGAAAUGAUACAGAGAAGAUUAGCAUGGCCCCUGCAGAGGGAUGCCGUGCAGAUUUGGAAGAGCACAUGAGAGGAU